AGCGUACACGGUGGAUGCCCUGGCAGUCAGAGGCGAUGAAGGACGUGCUAAUCUGCGAUAAGCGUCGGUAAGGUGAUAUGAACCGUUAUAACCGGCGAUUUCCGAAUGGGGAAACCCAGUGUGUUUCGACACACUAUCAUUAACUGAAUCCAUAGGUUAAUGAGGCGAACCGGGGGAACUGAAACAUCUAAGUACCCCGAGGAAAAGAAAUCAACCGAGAUUCCCCCAGUAGCGGCGAGCGAACGGGGAGCAGCCCAGAGCCUGAAUCAGUGUGUGUGUUAGUGGAAGCGUCUGGAAAGGCGCGCGAUACAGGGUGACAGCCCCGUACACAAAAAUGCACAUGCUGUGAGCUCGAUGAGUAGGGCGGGACACGUGGUAUCCUGUCUGAAUAUGGGGGGACCAUCCUCCAAGGCUAAAUACUCCUGACUGACCGAUAGUGAACCAGUACCGUGAGGGAAAGGCGAAAAGAACCCCGGCGAGGGGAGUGAAAAAGAACCUGAAACCGUGUACGUACAAGCAGUGGGAGCCUCUUUUAUGGGGUGACUGCGUACCUUUUGUAUAAUGGGUCAGCGACUUAUAUUCUGUAGCAAGGUUAACCGAAUAGGGGAGCCGAAGGGAAACCGAGUCUUAACUGGGCGUUAAGUUGCAGGGUAUAGACCCGAAACCCGGUGAUCUAGCCAUGGGCAGGUUGAAGGUUGGGUAACACUAACUGGAGGACCGAACCGACUAAUGUUGAAAAAUUAGCGGAUGACUUGUGGCUGGGGGUGAAAGGCCAAUCAAACCGGGAGAUAGCUGGUUCUCCCCGAAAGCUAUUUAGGUAGCGCCUCGUGAAUUCAUCUCCGGGGGUAGAGCACUGUUUCGGCAAGGGGGUCAUCCCGACUUACCAACCCGAUGCAAACUGCGAAUACCGGAGAAUGUUAUCACGGGAGACACACGGCGGGUGCUAACGUCCGUCGUGAAGAGGGAAACAACCCAGACCGCCAGCUAAGGUCCCAAAGUCAUGGUUAAGUGGGAAACGAUGUGGGAAGGCCCAGACAGCCAGGAUGUUGGCUUAGAAGCAGCCAUCAUUUAAAGAAAGCGUAAUAGCUCACUGGUCGAGUCGGCCUGCGCGGAAGAUGUAACGGGGCUAAACCAUGCACCGAAGCUGCGGCAGCGACGCUUAUGCGUUGUUGGGUAGGGGAGCGUUCUGUAAGCCUGUGAAGGUGUGCUGUGAGGCAUGCUGGAGGUAUCAGAAGUGCGAAUGCUGACAUAAGUAACGAUAAAGCGGGUGAAAAGCCCGCUCGCCGGAAGACCAAGGGUUCCUGUCCAACGUUAAUCGGGGCAGGGUGAGUCGACCCCUAAGGCGAGGCCGAAAGGCGUAGUCGAUGGGAAACAGGUUAAUAUUCCUGUACUUGGUGUUACUGCGAAGGGGGGACGGAGAAGGCUAUGUUGGCCGGGCGACGGUUGUCCCGGUUUAAGCGUGUAGGCUGGUUUUCCAGGCAAAUCCGGAAAAUCAAGGCUGAGGCGUGAUGACGAGGCACUACGGUGCUGAAGCAACAAAUGCCCUGCUUCCAGGAAAAGCCUCUAAGCAUCAGGUAACAUCAAAUCGUACCCCAAACCGACACAGGUGGUCAGGUAGAGAAUACCAAGGCGCUUGAGAGAACUCGGGUGAAGGAACUAGGCAAAAUGGUGCCGUAACUUCGGGAGAAGGCACGCUGAUAUGUAGGUGAGGUCCCUCGCGGAUGGAGCUGAAAUCAGUCGAAGAUACCAGCUGGCUGCAACUGUUUAUUAAAAACACAGCACUGUGCAAACACGAAAGUGGACGUAUACGGUGUGACGCCUGCCCGGUGCCGGAAGGUUAAUUGAUGGGGUUAGCGGUAACGCGAAGCUCUUGAUCGAAGCCCCGGUAAACGGCGGCCGUAACUAUAACGGUCCUAAGGUAGCGAAAUUCCUUGUCGGGUAAGUUCCGACCUGCACGAAUGGCGUAAUGAUGGCCAGGCUGUCUCCACCCGAGACUCAGUGAAAUUGAACUCGCUGUGAAGAUGCAGUGUACCCGCGGCAAGACGGAAAGACCCCGUGAACCUUUACUAUAGCUUGACACUGAACAUUGAGCCUUGAUGUGUAGGAUAGGUGGGAGGCUUUGAAGUGUGGACGCCAGUCUGCAUGGAGCCGACCUUGAAAUACCACCCUUUAAUGUUUGAUGUUCUAACGUUGACCCGUAAUCCGGGUUGCGGACAGUGUCUGGUGGGUAGUUUGACUGGGGCGGUCUCCUCCUAAAGAGUAACGGAGGAGCACGAAGGUUGGCUAAUCCUGGUCGGACAUCAGGAGGUUAGUGCAAUGGCAUAAGCCAGCUUGACUGCGAGCGUGACGGCGCGAGCAGGUGCGAAAGCAGGUCAUAGUGAUCCGGUGGUUCUGAAUGGAAGGGCCAUCGCUCAACGGAUAAAAGGUACUCCGGGGAUAACAGGCUGAUACCGCCCAAGAGUUCAUAUCGACGGCGGUGUUUGGCACCUCGAUGUCGGCUCAUCACAUCCUGGGGCUGAAGUAGGUCCCAAGGGUAUGGCUGUUCGCCAUUUAAAGUGGUACGCGAGCUGGGUUUAGAACGUCGUGAGACAGUUCGGUCCCUAUCUGCCGUGGGCGCUGGAGAACUGAGGGGGGCUGCUCCUAGUACGAGAGGACCGGAGUGGACGCAUCACUGGUGUUCGGGUUGUCAUGCCAAUGGCACUGCCCGGUAGCUAAAUGCGGAAGAGAUAAGUGCUGAAAGCAUCUAAGCACGAAACUUGCCCCGAGAUGAGUUCU
RNAcentral lists this ribosomal RNA (2775 nucleotides) under Escherichia coli. RNAcentral describes it as "bacterial LSU rRNA". It matches the Rfam family "Bacterial large subunit ribosomal RNA". Lineage: Bacteria; Pseudomonadati; Pseudomonadota; Gammaproteobacteria; Enterobacterales; Enterobacteriaceae. The record is from RNAcentral.